UCUUUGCCCUUUAUUCGUGGCUCUGCACCAACGAGCUGGAUAAAACAGGAACACGCUCAGCGCCAGAGGCCCCUUGGGGUCUGAGACCGGAAGCCAGGCCCUGCUUGAUCCCGGUUCUACAGACUUCCUUCCCGACCCUCCCCACUGCCUCUGAGAGAUGUGGCUCCGGCCAGGGGCCCCUAGCCUCCGGGACAGAGGGUGAGGGGGUCAGUGCCUCCUAUUCUCUAGGCUCCUCUGUGGCUCCUCUGUGGUCUGAAGUCUUACUCACUCACCGGUCGGGGGCUUCCGAUGGGGAAGGCGUGGCCCUGUGCACUUGGUUCUGGGUUGUGUUUAGGAAAAUGUAAAUCCAAUGAUACGUGGUGGUGGAAUAUUCGGAUUUGGGGACAUUAAAAUGAUCAGGGUUGCUAAAGCAACCCCCUCAGGGGGCAGGGGACUCACGCACCCUCUGCUUGCCUACCUCCAGUGAUUGUGUGCUCACUACCUCACGGGGCAUCACCUUCUCACUGUUGGAUAUACCGCAUGGAAAUUUGCCUCCCUGGUGCAGUACGGUGAUCCACACAAGGACUCAUCGCAAACCUCUAACCCCAGCGGUCCAGUCGUUGACUUAACCUAUCACUGUAAGCUGCCUAAAGCCCUUUUAGAAACCGACGAGACACAACAACAAAGAGCUGCGUGGAUUUGCUGGGUCCCGUGCUGUGACUCCCCAUCGGCCAAGGGUGACUUCCCAGACACCGUGUGGUUUUGUGAUUUUAUUUUUUAUAUUCAUUUUUAUCUACUUGUUAACGUUUCUUUAUUUUUGAGAGCGUGUGCGUGGGGGAGGGGCGGGAGAGAGGAGGACAGAGGAUCCGAAGCCGGCUCUGUGCUGACAGCAGCGAGCCCGAUGUGGGGCUCGAACUCACGACCCGUGAGCCAAAGUCGGACGCUCAACCCACUGAGCCACGCAGGUGCCCCGUGUCCUUUUGUGAUUUUAAUAAAUUCCAUGAUACAAUGCGAA
Molecule: long non-coding RNA, 994 nt
Organism: Prionailurus viverrinus (fishing cat)
Lineage: Eukaryota; Metazoa; Chordata; Mammalia; Carnivora; Felidae
Exons: 2
Source: RefSeq, a predicted model, not a curated record